Long non-coding RNA from Monodelphis domestica (gray short-tailed opossum), 1556 nucleotides. NCBI's taxonomy places the organism in Eukaryota, Metazoa, Chordata, Mammalia, Didelphimorphia, Didelphidae. The record is from Ensembl.
ACAAUGCCUUACAAAAUCUGGGUUUUCUAGGCAUUGAAUAGAUUAAUUUGAUUUGUAUUAUUCCUUAUAGGAAGAAAUCAUUUGGUAUUCAACAUGCCUUCUGGAACAAAUUAAUGACAAGUACCAAGGUUCAUCAAAGAAGUUCAAAUGGGGAAUCCUGGGCUACAGUUGAGAAGCUGAACUUGCAAGUCUUCUAAGAACCUGAACGUGGCAAGCACUUUAAAGGCAGAAGGAGGAGCACUAUAUGGAAGUUGCAUUGAGACAUAUUUGGGCUCUGUAUUCAAAAGAUCUACCUACUGACCAGACUCUCCAGAAGAAGAACCACCAAAAGGUUAAGUGGGCUCAUCCACCAGUCACUGAAGAUCUUCAGCAGGAUUUGAAUGAUCUAUUGUUCUCUUUCCAAGGCUUGUACCAGAGUCUUCAGUCAACAAAAGGUUUCUUGACAUCCCUCCACCUGUUACCUUUUCAAGAUGAAUAAGGAACUGGAAACACCUGAUGGGACUUGUCUCUGACACCAACCCAACAACGCAAAAUGAGGGCGCAGAAGUGCCCAAACUUAGAAAAGAGCUUCCUCUCUGUUGCUUUAUUCCCUGGACACAAUGUUUCUCACUCCAGAUCCUAUUUUUCAUUUUGGGUGAUCCAUAACUUGGAACCAGAGUAUUCGAACAGGGGUGCCAACUCUUUUUGCUGUAUAGAAUUCUGAGAACUAGAUGCAUACCAAACCAUUUUCUUUUACAGACACCAGAAGGCUUUGAAUGACCUAAAAUUUCUUAAGAGAAACCGCUGGGUAUGACUUGGUCUCUUGGCACUCCCCUCCCCCUCUGUCCUCAUUCCCUCUGUAAUUACAGAAACUGAAUUACUAAUGUGUGCUCCUCUGUUCUUUCUUCCCCCACCCCUCCUUUCCUCCUUUUGUAUUAUUCAGUAAGCAAGAUUGUAUCUUUUCACAUAAUUUGAAAAAUAACACCUUCAAUAUGAAGAAAAAGUGAUUGAAAAGAAACAGUAUUCCUUUUCUUUUCUCUUUUGUAAUGCAGACUGUAUGAUACUUUCUAUAAGUCACAGUUUCUUUAUUAUGUCAAUGUUUUUCUUCUAGGAGGUGUUAUGUUCCAAUUGAUAGCCCUGAAAAUAAUAUAGUGUUUUACGAAGUUCUGAAAACAUAAUUUUGCUUGGAAAUUCAUCUCUCCUUCCUCAGAGAAUUCAUGUGUGAUGGUUCUGUAACCCUUCAGUGAACCAGAUGCUUUAAGAGAGUGUGAAUUUUCUGACCCCUAGAAGAGUGGGCAUUAUUGUGAAUCCUGCUAGAGGAAAGGAGAGGGACCGAAAUCUGGUGAAAACUAAAGACCCAAAUCUCUCAUUGUUACCCUGUGGGGAGAUUUGGGUAUUUUAAAAAUCGAUUCCUUAUUCCUUCCCACCUUGACUGUACCAACAACUCUUAGCUUGAACCGAAUGUCCAGUCCUGGAUCAAGACAAAGAGAUUGGGAUGAGCUUUGGAUAAAUAGGCUGUUUUCAAGUCAUCUGAAUUUUGCUCAUCAGUAAUAAAGGCAUGUCUGAGCCAAUGGGCA